This 491-nucleotide small RNA is filed under the name uncultured bacterium. RNAcentral's name for it is "bacterial SSU rRNA". The stretch from base 1 to 393 matches the Rfam family "Bacterial small subunit ribosomal RNA", at positions 69 to 358 of the family's 1533-position model. The record is from RNAcentral.
GCUUCGCUUUCGCUUGGCGCAACAAUUAGCUAUUAACACUUAACAAUGAACAAAUUAGUUAAGGGUUAACUGUUAAAUGUUAAAGGUUCGCGUAGCGUAAGCGGAGCGCGCGGCAAACGGGAGCGGAACGCAUUGGUAACCCACCUUGAGGAAAGGCAUAAUCCCGCGAAAGCAGGAAUAAUUCCCGAUAAAAAUGGGGGGACAGAAGUCAUUCCCAUUUAAAGCAUAUCCUCGCGAAAGCGGGGAUCUACACCUCGAGAGGGACCUAUGUCCUAUCAGCUAGUUGGUGAGGUAAUGGCUCACCAAGGCAAUGACAGGUAGCGGGUGUGAGAGCAUGACCCGCCUCACUGGGACUGAGACACUGCCCAGAUUCCUACGGGAGGCAGGAGUGGGACUCAUACGGGAGGCAGCAGUGGGACUCCUACGGGAGGCUGCAGUGGGCCCAGUCAUACGGGAGGCAGCAUUUUUGAUCUUGCAGAAAACUCGAGCCU